AUUGAACGCUGGCGGCAGGCCUAACACAUGCAAGUCGAGCGGUUGAGGUAGCUUGCUACCGAUACAGCGGCGGACGGGUGAGUAAUACAUGGGAAUCUGCCUGGUAGUGGGGGACAACGUUUCGAAAGGAACGCUAAUACCGCAUACGCCCUACGGGGGAAAGGGGGGGAUCUUCGGGCCUCUCGCUAUCAGAUGAGCCCAUGUCAGAUUAGCUUGUUGGUGAGGUAAAGGCUCACCAAGGCGACGAUCUGUAACUGGUCUGAGAGGAUGAUCAGUCAAACUGGAACUGAGACACGGUCCAGACUCCUACGGGAGGCAGCAGUGGGGAAUAUUGGACAAUGGGCGCAAGCCUGAUCCAGCCAUGCCGCGUGUGUGAAGAAGGCCUUAGGGUUGUAAAGCACUCUCAGUGGGGAGAAAGGCCUUUUACUUAAUACGUAAGAGGAUUGAUGUUACCCACAGAAGAAGCACCGGCUAACUCCGUGCCAGCCGCCGCAGUAA
Molecule: ribosomal RNA, 498 nt
Filed under: uncultured bacterium
Lineage: Bacteria
Description: partial 16S ribosomal RNA
Rfam family: Bacterial small subunit ribosomal RNA
Source: RNAcentral